This is an RNA transcript of Alligator mississippiensis (American alligator), 6199 nucleotides long. RefSeq lists it as uncharacterized. The transcript has 5 exons. The record is from RefSeq and is a predicted model, not a curated record. Lineage: Eukaryota; Metazoa; Chordata; Crocodylia; Alligatoridae.
AAAGAGCGCUGCCAAUCGAAGGGAAGUUGAAGCUCGCCCCAGUGCCUCCUCAAGAAGCGGGCGGCGGGGUGCUCAGGGGGUAGCGUCGUGGCAGCCAUUUUAGUUGAGGGCAGAACCCCUCGGUUGUGCCCUUCCUUUCGCUCCUCUCCCAGCUGAAUCUCUUUGCCCCUCAAUCAAAGACUCAUGGAGGGCUCACUUGGUGGUUUGGGAAGCAGCGUGUUUGUUCAGACGGGAACAAAGUCUUUGGCAACUACUUUUCUUGGCACGGUUAGUUCUGAUCUUCAGUCAGAAUUUACCCCUCUAGGACAUGUCUUCUCCCUACAGAGACAACAUCUCCCAGUGGUUUAGGACUCAAAAAGAUGGGUAGAAAAGAUGCCUCUGCUGCAAGAAGUCCUGUUGAGCAAUACCGGAAACAAAUAGGAAAACAAGAUUAUAAGAAAACCAAACCAAUGUUACGAGCAACAAGAUUAAAAGCAGAGGCCAAGAAAACCGCAGUGGGCAUAAAGGAAGUUGCCCUUGUCCUUGUAGCUAUACUGGUAUUUCUGUUGGCUUUCUACGCUUUCUUUUAUCUUAACCUUUCCAAUGAAGUUGACCUUGAUCUGGAUCCAGAUGAAAACUAGCAGAUGCAGUGUUCUCUUUGGGAAAAAGCAUCUACCUUGAACAAUACUACACGGAACCACACAGUGCAACAACACAGCUGUAGGAAAUGGUAUGGCUUACUACACAAUGAUACUUUGCAAUAUCUCAGCCUCUCUGGUGUUCUGAAUCUGCAAAAUAGGGAAAAAAACUGGUGAAACAAAGCUUUUUUGGUUAUCAGGAAGCACAGAAGCCCUACAGUAUGAUUACUGAAUGGUAUACUUGAAUAAAGUGACCAAUUUAUAUUAUUUACUUUUUCUGAAUGAAAACUUUCAUGUAAAAAAACAGUUUUUUGCGUUAUAAUUACUGGUAUCUAAAAGGGUAGAUGCUAACCUCUGACGAGUCAUGCACCCAUUCCAUGAAUCCGAAUUUCCCAAUAGCUAUACUAGAUUUUUAUUACAUCUAAAAGAAAACACAAAUCCCAAAUAAAACAUGUUUCAUUGAUUUAUACUGAGAGCACAUCUUCAAUUUCUCAUUCUCUCUCUCUCUCCCCAGCUCUUUCUGUCAUACACACAGAAAAGUCAUAGGUCAAAGUCUUUUCAGGAGCGAUCUCUCAUUUCCUGUAUGGGCCUAUUUUAUGUCAUCCUAGAUUCUGUAUACUCGUAUAUCUACAAUAAUCUUUUUCAUCCUUUUGCCAACUGUUCAGUGCACAUGUGCUCUGUAAGAAAAGGACACCUGGAUGACAGAAGCUUGAACAGUCACAUAUGCCUCUGAAACAGAGUUCCUUGCCUCCUGUGCUGUCUAAGCUGGUGUAAAUAGAAAGUUCAGACAAUGUUGAUUUUAAUUAGUGUAUUGCUCUAUUAUUAAAAUAAAGUAGAAAUUAUAUUUUAAUUAUACUAUUCUGCCUCCUGCAAUAUCAGCCUGCCCUUCUUCUUAAGAGGAUGUGGUAAAAAUUGUUUUCCAGUUAUACAAUCAUUUUCAUCAAACCAAUGCAAAGGGUGGUAUCUGCUAACAAACGUUUUCUUGCAUAUUCCUAAGGAAUAGUAUCCUUUCAUUCUUGCAAAGUACUAUUCUGAAUGUGUAGCAUAGAGUUUAUUUCUGAUCACUCUACUAAACAAAUGCAAACAACUUGAAAAAGGAGGUAGAUCAAAGCACCUGUAGAGAGGUCUGUUCAAUUUAGGUUUUAUACUGUCCUGUUUGGUUUGUGGUGUAUCUUUGUUUACAGGUCCUGUGAUGCGAAAGGCCGUCAUAUUUGUGUUCUUGAAAAAUAUGGUCAGCAUUUCACUUGUUCUGAUUUUUAUUUUCUUUAAAUCAAUGCACGGAAAGAAAAAAAAAAACACCCCUACUACCUUCAGUGGUGUAGGUUUGGUAGAUUUUCUUUUAGAGGGGUUAAAGAAAUCCUGAAUCUAUCAUCAAAUUAGCCCUGUUUUAUCUUAUAUAAGAGUCUUGAGCUAAAAAUUAAACGUAUUUCCCAGUAAGAAGUUUACUGACCCAUUGAGGAAGUGCUCAAGGUAGUUAGACUAAUAUUGUCAUUUUAGAGACAAAAGGAAGCAAAAUAAUUAAAAUUAAUAUUCUAGCAUAUAAUAAUAUAUUAAUAAUUCCAUUAUCACUAGUUAAAGCCCAGUUUAGGAACUUAAAUCAAUAUGACUUAUUUUAAGCCAUAUCUGUGCCAAGAUACAUUGAUUGGGUAAGGACAGACUUUUUAUCAGUUAUGUUCCACAUACUGAGUUGUGUAACACCAGACAGCCCAUCAAAAAAUGCAGAAUAUAACAGCAUCUCUAAUACAUGUAUGGAAACAAAACAGCAUACAUGUACCAUAUUUUCUUACAUACAACAUGUAUCUUUUUCCAAAAACCCAGCUGCUGGAAAUUGGAGUAUGGUUACUCUGUAUGUGAGAAAUAUGGUAAGAGUGGUUUUUGCUUCUUACCAGUAAAAAGUGAUAAUAAUAUCUGCACACAAUCCACAGGGAGCAAAACAGUGAAUAAGCUUGGCUCCCUAUUUGUCACAACUCAGUUAUUUACUACAAGUUAAGAUUUUUUUUCUUCAUUUGCCUUUUAAAAACAAGGUGCUUAUCUUAUUCUGGGGUGCAUAGGGUGCAUUGUAUGUGAGAAAAUAUAGCAUUUUUCAUUCCGUAAUUAUGACCAAUUGCAGUCAGAAAAUCCUGCAACUCAUAUAUUCACAUUAUGUAGAGUCCAGUAAUACUUACAUACAUUGCCAAAUAUAUUGCAACACACUGCAUUUUUGGCAACGUGCUUUUUAUGAUAUGUGGCAUUUCUUUCAGUGUCAGGAAAGGCAUAUCACAAGCUGGCCUUUGGAGUGUGACAUGCCUGUCACUUCAUCAAGUGCCAUGCCAGAUGUCACACAGAACUGUUGUCCUCUCUUCUGUUUUGCAUGAGCAACAUCCACUUUCUACAAAAACCUAUGUAUUUUAUAGGGAUUCUUUAGUUAAUAGCUGCACUGCGCUUUGUGUUACAUGCACUGUAAGUGUACAGUAUUAUCAUUCCAUUCAUAAAUGUUCCCUUGUAUAUUGUGUUCUGAAACAGUAAACUUUUAAAUAGGAUAUUUCUAACAUAAAGAGUAACUUGAAAUUAUUAGAACUUUCCCUGUAUUAUGAGAGUUACUAGUGAAAUGAAACUGUAUAUAUCAACAAUUUCACUAGUGAAAUCAACUCAUUGGUUUAUGGAGCGGAAGUCCACAAUGCCCUCAAGGUCUGCUGUUUGUAUUUGAGUCUUUUAGGUGAAAGAAAUAACUAAGUCACAUGUAACCAGAGAGUCCCCUAUUGCUAGAAUACCUGCAGAGGUCCAAACCAAUGUACAUGGAGAUGCAAAGAAAAUAUCACAGCAAAUACAAUGUGAAAUAUAAGUCAUGCUGUUAGUACACUCAUUAAAGACAGGAGAAUGCUAAUUUUGUAACAAGUGUGUAGAGCUAAAAGCUCCUACCUUCAGUCAAACCAGACACUUGUUUUUUGACUACAUAAGCACAAAUGUAUUGAAUAGGACCUGAUUCUGGUGUUGCUUCUCUUAUGCUGGCUCCAUUGAUUUCAGUACAAUGACACCUGAUUUGUAUUAAUGGGAGGUCAAAAUCUGACCUGUGGUUAUCUCAGCCAAUAUGCUUUCUGGAGCAUUUACAGCAUCCACUUCUGAUACCUUUAAAUGGAGAUCAUUUUCAGUACCUUAGGUGAAUAUACUUUUUUUCUUUAAUUAUAGGUAUAUGCAUAUCUGAGAUCAGGAUCAAUCUCAGCUUUUUUAGCCAUUUGUCUCUGUAACAGUAGCUCAAUGGCUAUUUUAAUGAUCAUAAAAUGAGUACGUAUGAGUACGUUUUACUGGAAGUUCUUAGGAGCUUUUAUUAGUGGGAUCUAUACUGCAGUGGUAGAUACAUUUGGAAGGCUAUACCAUUGGCCCACACAGCAUGGUAUUCACAUUUGAGCUGUGCUACCAAUUAAAGCUCACUAAUGUUUAUGAAAUAUGGAACAGUCCAUGUGAUUCUAGGCACUAAACUUGUAUUAGAAUGAACUUUAGGACUUACAUAUUGAAAACGUAACAAAAAGAGAUUCAUAUGUCUCCUAGCCAGUCUUAAUAGUGGUCAUUUAUGUUUACAAUGAGAAUUUCUCCAUUUUGUUUGUCACGAAAAUCACACUGAUUUGAAUAUAUUCUGAGCAUCAUUUCAUAUGGCUUGUUUUACGUAAAGGGUGCUGGUCACAUCAUUAACCAAACUCCAUGAGGCAGUGACACCCCAGAGUAUUCAUCUCCCAACACUGAGCAUGCUUUAUUAUUGGUCCUGCCUUCUCUUUAGGCAGUAAAUAUAUAAACUGCAACUGGGGUUCUAGCUUAAUAGAAGCUACUUGGGAAACUUGCUUGACUGACCAGACCCAUUGUGGAAAAAGUGGCAGAUGGCUCUAGGUUCUCCAUAGGAGUAAGACUAGUGAAGAUUUUUCAUCCCUAGCCAGGAAGAUUUUUCUCUCUAGAGGGAGUAUAAUGCUAACAAUUAUCUUGGUCAAUAAAACUUUGCCAGUACUUUUUUUUCUAAUAAUAUGAACAGCAGCAGACCAGGGAACAGUUCCAUGAGUAUAACAGAAGUGCAAAACCCCAUUGUGGUUGUUAUGAUGAUAUGAACAGUGAAUAUGAUAGACUUUCCAAAGCAAACAUUUUUAAUAUGUUCACAGAAGUCCAUGAGUAUAUUUUAUUAGAAUGAGAAGAUAUGCAUUACAUACUUCUCUAAAGGGCCCCAGAGAUUUAUUUAAAGUUUUGUUGAAGGAUGCUUUAUUUAAAGAUUAUUGAGGCAUCCCAUAUAGACACCCACGUAAUCUAGUAUAUAUCAUAGCUACGUCAAUACAUCCCAUCAGUUGCAGCAGCAACAACAUAUUCAUUGAAGUAUUGGAACAUUACAGCUACAUGAGAAUAUAUGAGAUAUUUUGUACUUGCUUGAGUAUUCAGAGUAAUAUUGACCUGACUAGUCAAUGUAGCCACAGACUAGAUUUGAAAAUAAGCAGUAUUUAAACUGUCUUAUUUAAAAUGUGCAGGGCAAAACCCUAUUAAAAGAUCCACAGCCUAUCAGUGAAAUUUAACACCAAGCACAGGGCUCAUCUUAUUUAAGGCUAGCAGAUUAAGAAUCUCCUUUUGCAAGUAAGCAGUGUGCCAGUGUGGCAGUACUGUGUACUGCUCCAGUGUAGUAGAACUGUGUCUCUUAGACGCAAGUGAACCCUUAAUGGUCAAGGUCAAGUGCAUUGAUGCAAGUCCUCAGAAAGAGAAUGUACUUGAAAUCAAGAUAACCCAAUUUAGAAAGCCAGCAAACAGAAUAUUGCGGAUUCAGAUGGCAUUUAGAAUUUUACUUAAGCUAGUACAAUUAUUAUGAUGAUUGCGGCCCAGGAAAUAACAAUGUGGCACAUCAGUAAGAUAGCAGAAAUGUACACUGGAACAGCUUUCUAAAGGAUUUUGCCUGUACUUUGAGAAAUAAAUCUGAGAUGAAUAAACUGGCAAAGAUCAUGGGUAUUCUUACGCUCAUAACAACAUUCAGUGUGUUGACACCCUCAAUAAGGGGGAGAGAGAGAGAAACAACAGACUAGCUCUUUUUUUGCAGUACAAUGUUUUUUCCCUUCAUCCUACUAUAUAGUUUGCUUUAAAUUACUAUGCUAUAUAUGGGGCACACAUUUUCAAGAACACAAAAUGAAUUUUGAUAGUUUGUCAAUGGAUUUAAUUGACAGCAUCCUCUACUCUCUUUUUUAUUCCUAAUGACAACCAAAUUGGUGGGGAGACAGCCAAAAUGCUAGGUACCAGUGUCUCUCAAACAGAUGUCACACCAUUAUUUUUUAGCUCGUUUAGAUGAAUAAACAUGUUAAACUGUGAAGUAUUACAUUUUAGAUUUUUUCAUUAAAAAUGGGACAAUCUGUUUACUGUCCCUAAUUGAGACAACAAUCUUGGUGGUUGCCAGUUUUGGCAGUUGUAACGGUGAACUAUAAAUAUUGGGACCAAUCAAAUAACUGAUGAUUGUGAAGGAUAGUUCAUGUCAAAGGUUCCCUUUGCAUGGAUAGUGAUUCAGUGAUAUAUUUUAUAAUUUCUGGAAAUAUAAUUGUUAUACUAGUUUUGCAUGUAAAGCUUAAAAUAAACAACAAAAAACAUUCAAACAA